GAAAAUUUUUCAUUUCCUUUUCAAUCAGUUAGUAAAGAAUAAUGCUUCGGACAAAUAUACUACAAAAAUUUUACAAACUACUAAUGUGACAUUUCAUCUCAGCUUUUUAUGUGGAGCCGAAAACUACAUUAAAGCAAUUUAUUGAUCAUAUGCUGAGGUAAAAUAUGUCACACCAACAAUUUAUAAAAUACUUAUAGAAUAAUUUGUGUCUGUAACAUUACUCAUUAGUACAAGAUCCCACCCAAAGUCUCUACACGAGCAUAUGACAAUGGAGAUAAAUUUGUGUAUAGUUGUUCUUCUGACACUGUCCCACUGGGAACAUAAAUAUAAAUUUUAGGCAUAAACAUUAUGAACUAGGUCAAAACAACUACAACAGUUCUGUUAACCUACCUGACUUGAUUGCAAAAAUGCCCAACUUGAACUGCAACAGGUUUGCUUCUAAUCGGUACCAGCCAUAACCCACGAGCACAGUCGACUAACAUAGUGGAAUUUUCUUCCUCGACAUCUCCCCAUCUUUGUUGGUGACAUAUAAAAGUGAUACACCGCACCAUAACUGUAUAAAGCUCGUGAUAUACUUGCCUAUAAAGUUCUCUUGCAUUAUUAGACUAAUUCUUCAAUCGGGCAUGGUAUACAAGUGAAAGGUUCCACCUGCUGCAGUGGUAUGUUUGGAUACGGGUAUACUUGGCCUACUGAAUCUGAGAAAGGUCACCCUAGUGGCAAAACACCAAUUUCUUGUCUUCACUUGCGCUAGUAAAACCUUCAAUCUUUCUUUUGAACAAUGUUAUCAAUCCUGACAAGUGGCUUUUUAAAUGAUCAAUGUGUACCGGAAAACUUCCUGCCUCAGCAAAAUCCACUGAACAGGACUGCUACCCCCCNN
This 877-nucleotide long non-coding RNA is filed under the name Panax ginseng (ginseng). RNAcentral's name for it is "long non-coding RNA (PGIN_LNC008433)". Lineage: Eukaryota; Viridiplantae; Streptophyta; Magnoliopsida; Apiales; Araliaceae. The record is from RNAcentral.